UUCGAGUCGUUGAUUUCACACUGCCGAGAAAAGCCUCUAGAUAGAAAAUAGGUGCCCGUACCGCAAACCGACACAGGUAGUCAAGAUGAGAAUUCUAAGGUGAGCGAGCGAACUCUCGUUAAGGAACUCGGCAAAAUGACCCCGUAACUUCGGGAGAAGGGGUGCUCUUUAGGGUUAACGCCCAGAAGAGCCGCAGUGAAUAGGCCCAAGCGACUGUUUAUCAAAAACACAGGUCUCUGCUAAACCGUAAGGUGAUGUAUAGGGGCUGACGCCUGCCCGGUGCUGGAAGGUUAAGAGGAGUGGUUAGCUUCUGCGAAGCUACGAAUCGAAGCCCCAGUAAACGGCGGCCGUAACUAUAACGGUCCUAAGGUAGCGAAAUUCCUUGUCGGGUAAGUUCCGACCCGCACGAAAGGCGUAACGAUUUGGGCACUGUCUCAACGAGAGACUCGGUGAAAUCAUAGUACCUGUGAAGAUGCAGGUUACCCGCGACAGGACGGAAAGACCCCGUGGAGCUUUACUGUAGCCUGAUAUUGAAAUUCGGCACAGCUUGUACAGGAUAGGUAGGAGCCUUUGAAACGUGAGCGCUAGCUUACGUGGAGGCGCUGGUGGG
RNAcentral lists this ribosomal RNA (610 nucleotides) under Staphylococcus aureus. RNAcentral describes it as "partial 23S ribosomal RNA". It matches the Rfam family "Bacterial large subunit ribosomal RNA", at positions 1585 to 2196 of the family's 2925-position model. Lineage: Bacteria; Bacillati; Bacillota; Bacilli; Caryophanales; Staphylococcaceae. The record is from RNAcentral.